CCUGGUGGCUUAGAGGGUAAAAGCAUAUGCCUGCAAUGCAGGAGACCCGGGUUCGAUCCCUGGGUCAGGA
Molecule: transfer RNA, 70 nt
Filed under: Capra hircus (goat)
Lineage: Eukaryota; Metazoa; Chordata; Mammalia; Artiodactyla; Bovidae
Also listed under: 1 other name
Rfam family: tRNA
About the family: Transfer RNA (tRNA) molecules are approximately 80 nucleotides in length. Their secondary structure includes four short double-helical elements and three loops (D, anti-codon, and T loops).
Source: Rfam by way of RNAcentral